UUAAAAGCAGUUUUCUGAAAAUUGUAACUUUGGAAGUUAUCGGAUGGCCCUAAGGUCACUUUUAAA
Molecule: transfer RNA, 66 nt
Filed under: Cerion incanum
Lineage: Eukaryota; Metazoa; Mollusca; Gastropoda; Stylommatophora; Cerionidae
Description: tRNA-Pro
Source: RNAcentral